CCUACGGGAGGCAGCAGUGAGGAAUAUUGGUCAAUGGCCGGAAGGCUGAACCAGCCAUGCCGCGUGAAGGUCAGUGCCCUAUGGGCGUUAAACUUCUUUUGUGCGGGAGCAAUAAUGGUCACGUGUGGCCAGACGAGAGUACCGUACGAAUAAGCAUCGGCUAACUCCGUGCCAGCAGCCGCGGUAAUACGGGGGAGGCAAGCGUUAUCCGGAUUUAUUGGGUUUAAAGGGUGCGUAGGCUGUGAGGUAAGUCAGCGGUGAAAUGCCCCCGCUCAACGGGGUGAAGUGCCAUUGAUACUGCCUGGCUGGAAUGCGGAUGCCGUGGGAGGAAUGUGUGGUGUAGCGGUGAAAUGCAUAGAUAUGACACAGAACACCGAUUGCGAAGGCAUCUCACGAAUCCGCGAUUGACGCUGAUGCACGAAAGCGUGGGUAUCAAACAGGAUUAGAUACCCCAGUAGUC
Molecule: ribosomal RNA, 460 nt
Filed under: uncultured bacterium
Lineage: Bacteria
Description: partial 16S ribosomal RNA
Rfam family: Bacterial small subunit ribosomal RNA
Source: RNAcentral